UGAGGAAUAUUGGUCAAUGGGCGCAAGCCUGAACCAGCCAUCCCGCGUGCAGGAAGACGGCCCUAUGGGUUGUAAACUGCUUUUCCAGGGGACGAAUAGUUUCUACGUGUAGAGACAUGACGGUACCUUGGGAAUAAGCAUCGGCUAACUCCGUGCCAGCAGCCGCGGUAAUACGGAGGAUGCAAGCGUUAUCCGGAUUCAUUGGGUUUAAAGGGUGCGUAGGCGGAUUGAUAAGUCAGUGGUGAAAUCCUACAGCUUAACUGUAGAACUGCCAUUGAUACUGUUAGUCUUGAGUGUGGUUAAGGUAGACGGAAUUUGUGAUGUAGCGGUGAAAUGCUUAGAUAUUACACAGAACACCAAUUGCGUAGGCAGCUUACUGGACCGACACUGACGCUGAGGCACGAAAGCGUGGGGAGCGAACA
RNAcentral lists this ribosomal RNA (422 nucleotides) under uncultured prokaryote. Its description in RNAcentral is "bacterial SSU rRNA". It matches the Rfam family "Bacterial small subunit ribosomal RNA", at positions 355 to 774 of the family's 1533-position model. The record is from RNAcentral.